GUGUCAGCAGCCGCGGUAAGACGAACCGUGCGAACGUUAUUCGGAAUCACUGGGCUUAAAGGGCGCGUAGGCGGGCUCGUUAGUCAGGGGUGAAAUCCCACGGCCCAACCGUGGAAGUGCCUUUGAUACUGCGAGUCUCGAGGGGGAUAGGGGCGUGCGGAACUCAGGGUGGAGCGGUGAAAUGCGUAGAUAUCCUGAGGAACACCGGUGGCGAAAGCGGCGCGCUGGAUCCCUUCUGACGCUGAGGCGCGAAAGCCAGGGGAGCAAACGGGAUUAGAAACCCCAGUAGUCC
This 292-nucleotide ribosomal RNA is filed under the name uncultured bacterium. Its description in RNAcentral is "partial 16S ribosomal RNA". It matches the Rfam family "Bacterial small subunit ribosomal RNA", at positions 505 to 796 of the family's 1533-position model. The record is from RNAcentral.